This 274-nucleotide ribosomal RNA is filed under the name uncultured bacterium. RNAcentral's name for it is "partial 16S ribosomal RNA". It matches the Rfam family "Bacterial small subunit ribosomal RNA", at positions 523 to 796 of the family's 1533-position model. The record is from RNAcentral.
AUACGGAGGGUGCAAGCGUUACUCGGAAUCACUGGGCGUAAAGCGCGCGCAGGCGGCCAUUUAAGUUGGAUGUGAAAGCCUACGGCUCAACCGUAGAACUGCAUCCAAAACUAUUAGACUAGAGUGUGGGAGAGGAAGAUGGAAUUAGUUGUGUAGGGGUAAAAUCCGUAGAGAUAACUAGGAAUACCAAAAGCGAAGGCAAUCUUCUGGAACACUACUGACGCUGAGGCGCGAAAGCGUGGGGAGCAAACAGGAUUAGAAACCCGAGUAGUCC